GAUGAAGAACGCAGCGAAAUGCGAUACGUAAUGUGAAUUGCAAAUUCAGUGAAUCAUCGAGUCUUUGAACGCACAUUGCGCCCCCUGGUAUUCCGGGGGGCAUGCCUGUCGAGCGUCAUUGCUGCCCUCAAGCACGGCUUGUGUGUUGGGCCCCGUCCUCCGAUCCCGGGGGACGGGCCCGAAAGGCAGCGGCGGCACCGCGUCCGGUCCUCGAGCGUAUGGGGCUUUGUCACCCGCUCUGUAGGCCCGGCCGGCGCUUGCCGAUCAACCCAAAUUUUUAUCCAGGUUGACCUCGGAUCAGGUAGGGAUACCCGCUGAACUUAAGCAUAUCAAUAGCGGAGGA
RNAcentral lists this unclassified non-coding RNA (343 nucleotides) under soil metagenome. RNAcentral describes it as "partial contains 5.8S ribosomal RNA, internal transcribed spacer 2, and large subunit ribosomal RNA". The stretch from base 1 to 118 matches the Rfam family "5.8S ribosomal RNA", at positions 35 to 154 of the family's 154-position model. The record is from RNAcentral.